GGAUGGUUGCCGGAGUGGUCUAACGGGCGGGCCUUAAGAUCCCGUAGGCGAAAGUCUGCGUGGGUUCGAACCCCACACCAUCCA
Transfer RNA from Coccomyxa subellipsoidea C-169, 84 nucleotides. It matches the Rfam family "tRNA". Rfam says of the family: Transfer RNA (tRNA) molecules are approximately 80 nucleotides in length. Their secondary structure includes four short double-helical elements and three loops (D, anti-codon, and T loops). Lineage: Eukaryota; Viridiplantae; Chlorophyta; Trebouxiophyceae; Coccomyxaceae. The record is from Rfam.